CUUCACCGACCCCAGCCACAACGGCCGCUCCGCCGAGCGCCCCUGGCCGUAGGUGGCCAGCACGGCCUGCGCCUC
Non-coding RNA from Streptomyces sparsogenes DSM 40356, 75 nucleotides. It matches the Rfam family "ASpks TB sRNA". NCBI's taxonomy places the organism in Bacteria, Bacillati, Actinomycetota, Actinomycetes, Kitasatosporales, Streptomycetaceae. The record is from Rfam.